UCCUGUAGCUCAAAGGGUAAAGAAUCUGCUUGCAAUGCAGGAGACCAGGGUUCGAUCCCUUGGUCAGGAA
This 70-nucleotide transfer RNA is filed under the name Ovis aries (sheep). It matches the Rfam family "tRNA". From Rfam's summary of the family: Transfer RNA (tRNA) molecules are approximately 80 nucleotides in length. The record is from Rfam by way of RNAcentral. Lineage: Eukaryota; Metazoa; Chordata; Mammalia; Artiodactyla; Bovidae.